This 320-nucleotide ribosomal RNA is filed under the name uncultured Prevotella sp. RNAcentral describes it as "partial 16S ribosomal RNA". Lineage: Bacteria; Pseudomonadati; Bacteroidota; Bacteroidia; Bacteroidales; Prevotellaceae. The record is from RNAcentral.
GGAGUUUGGUCCGUGUCUCAGUACCAAUGUGGGGGACCUUCCUCUCAGAACCCCUACUGAUCGUAGGCUUGGUGGGCCGUUACCCCGCCAACAACCUAAUCAGACGCAUCCCCAUCCCUUAGCGAUAAAUCUUUGUUCCAGCUCAGAUGUCCUCAUCGGAAAACAUAGGGUAUUAAUCCGACUUUCGCCGGGCUAUGCCCUACUAAGGGGAAGGUUGGAUACGCGUUACUCACCCGUGCGCCGGUCGCCGACAAGGAAAGCAAGCUUUCCUCUCGCUGCCCCUCGACUUGCAUGUGUUAAGCCUGUAGCUAGCGUUCAUC